Molecule: ribosomal RNA, 505 nt
Filed under: uncultured bacterium
Lineage: Bacteria
Description: partial 16S ribosomal RNA
Rfam family: Bacterial small subunit ribosomal RNA
Source: RNAcentral
UUGAACGCUGGCGGCAUGCCAAACACAUGCAAGUCGAACGGCAGCAUGGUCUAGUUUACUAGACUGAUGGCGAGUGGCGGACGGGUGAGUAACGCGUAGGAAUAUACCUUAAAGAGGGGGAUAACUUGGGGAAACUCAAGCUAAUACCGCGUAAGUUCUGAGGAAGAAAGCUGGGGACCUUUUGGCCUGGCGCUUUAAGAAUAGCCUGCGUACGAUUAGCUAGUUGGUGAGGUAAGGGCUCACCAAGGCGACGAUCGUUAGCUGGUCUGAGAGGAUGGCCAGCCACACUGGGACUGAGACACGGCCCAGACUCCUACGGGAGGCAGCAGUGGGGAAUAUUGGACAAUGGGGGGAACCCUGAUCCAGCAAUGCCGCGUGUGUGAAGAAGGCCUGAGGGUUGUAAAGCACUUUCAGUGGGGAGGAGGGUUGAUUGGUUAAGAGCUGAUUAAUUGGACGUUACCCACAGAAGAAGCACCGGCUAACUCCGUGCCAGCCGCCGCAGUAA